Molecule: ribosomal RNA, 255 nt
Filed under: uncultured bacterium
Lineage: Bacteria
Description: partial 16S ribosomal RNA
Rfam family: Bacterial small subunit ribosomal RNA
Source: RNAcentral
CAAACCAAAGCUGGCGACCGGCGCACGGGUGAGUAACACGUAUCCAACCUGCCUCAUACUCGGGGAUAGCCUUUCGAAAGAAAGAUUAAUAUCCGAUAGCAUAUACUUCCCGCAUGGGUUUUAUAUUAAAGAAAUUCGGUAUGAGAUGGGGAUGCGUUCCAUUAGUUUGUUGGGGGGGUAACGGCCCACCAAGACUACGAUGGAUAGGGGUUCUGAGAGGAAGGUCCCCCACAUUGGAACUGAGACACGGUCCAA